Molecule: ribosomal RNA, 465 nt
Filed under: uncultured bacterium
Lineage: Bacteria
Description: partial 16S ribosomal RNA
Rfam family: Bacterial small subunit ribosomal RNA
Source: RNAcentral
GACGAACGCUGGCGGCGUGCUUAACACAUGCAAGUCGAACGGAAAGGCCCUGCUUGCCGGGUACUCGAGUGGCGAACGGGUGAGUAACACGUGGGUGAUCUGCCCUUCACUUCGGGAUAAGCCUGGGAAACUGGGUCUAAUACCGGAUAGGAGCCAUUUUUAGUGUGAUGGUUGGAAAGUUUUUCCGGUGUAGGAUGAGCUCGCGGCCUAUCAGCUUGUUGGUGGGGUAAUGGCCUACCAAGGCGGCGACGGGUAGCCGGCCUGAGAGGGUGGACGGCCACAUUGGGACUGAGAUACGGCCCAGACUCCUACGGGAGGCAGCAGUGGGGAAUAUUGCACAAUGGGCGCAAGCCUGAUGCAGCGACGCCGCGUGGGGGAUGACGGCCUUCGGGUUGUAAACUCCUUUCGCUAGGGACGAAGCUUUUUGUGACGGUACCUAGAUAAGAAGCACCGGCUAACUACGUG